This 369-nucleotide ribosomal RNA is filed under the name uncultured organism. Its description in RNAcentral is "bacterial SSU rRNA". It matches the Rfam family "Bacterial small subunit ribosomal RNA", at positions 526 to 896 of the family's 1533-position model. The record is from RNAcentral.
CGAAGGGUGCAAACGUUGCUCGGAAUUAUUGGGCGUAAAGCGCACGUAGGCGGCAUUGCAAGUCGGAUGUGAAAUCCCUCGGCUUAACCAAGGAAGUGCAUCCGAAACUGCAGUGCUUGAGUACUUAAGAGGAUCGCGGAAUUCCCGGUGUAGAGGUGAAAUUCGUAGAUAUCGGGAGGAACACCAGUGGCGAAGGCGGCGAUCUGGGAAGAUACUGACGCUGAGGUGCGAAAGUGUGGGGAGCAAACAGGAUUAGAUACCCUGGUAGUCCACACCGUAAACGAUGGAUACUAGGUGUCGGGGACUUGAUCUUCGGUGCCGUAGCUAACGCGUUAAGUAUCCCGCCUGGGGAGUACGGUCGCAAGGCUG